This 399-nucleotide ribosomal RNA is filed under the name uncultured bacterium. Its description in RNAcentral is "bacterial SSU rRNA". It matches the Rfam family "Bacterial small subunit ribosomal RNA", at positions 28 to 444 of the family's 1533-position model. The record is from RNAcentral.
GUUGAACGCUGGCGGCAGGCUUAACACAUGCAAGUCGAGCGGAGACUUCGGUCUUAGCGGCGAACGGGUGAGUAAUACCUAGGAAUCCGCCUAUUAGUGGGGGAUAACGAAUCGAAAGGUUCGCUAAUACCCGCAUACGUCCCACGGGANAAAGGGGGGGAUCUUCGGACCUCUCGCUAAUAGAUGAGCCUAGGCCGGAUUAGCUAGUUGGUAGGGUAAAGGCCUACCAAGGCGACGAUCUGUAGCUGGUCUGAGAGGAUGGCCAGCCACACUGGAACUGAGACACGGUCCAGACUCCUACGGGAGGCAGCAGUGGGGAAUAUUGGACAAUGGGGGCAACCCUGAUCCAGCCAUGCCGCGUGUGUGAAGAAGGCCUCGGUGUAAGCACUUUGUUGGGUA